AGCGAACGCUGGCGGCAGGCCUAACACAUGCAAGUCUAACGAACUCUUCGGAGUUAGUGGCGGACGGGUGAGUAACACGUGGGAACGUGCCUUUUGGUUCGGAAUAACUCAGGGAAACUUGUGCUAAUACCGAAUGUGCCCUUCGGGGGAAAGAUUUAUCGCCAUUAGAGCGGCCCGCGUCUGAUUAGCUAGUUGGUGAGGUAACGGCUCACCAAGGCGACGAUCAGUAGCUGGUCUGAGAGGAUGACCAGCCACACUGGGACUGAGACACGGCCCAGACUCCUACGGGAGGCAGCAGUGGGGAAUCUUGCGCAAUGGGCGAAAGCCUGACGCAGCCAUGCCGCGUGAAUGAUGAAGGUCUUAGGAUUGUAAAAUUCUUUCACCGGGGACGAUAAUGACGGUACCCGGAGAAGAAGCCCCGGCUAACUUCGUG
RNAcentral lists this ribosomal RNA (433 nucleotides) under uncultured bacterium. Its description in RNAcentral is "partial 16S ribosomal RNA". It matches the Rfam family "Bacterial small subunit ribosomal RNA", at positions 29 to 507 of the family's 1533-position model. The record is from RNAcentral.